GCCCAGGUGGCGAAAUUGAGACGCACCAGAUUUAGGUUCUGGCGCCGAAAGGUGUGGGGGUUCGAGUCCCUUCCUGGGCACCA
RNAcentral lists this transfer RNA (83 nucleotides) under Dechloromonas sp. RNAcentral's name for it is "tRNA-Leu". It matches the Rfam family "tRNA". From Rfam's summary of the family: Transfer RNA (tRNA) molecules are approximately 80 nucleotides in length. Lineage: Bacteria; Pseudomonadati; Pseudomonadota; Betaproteobacteria; Rhodocyclales; Azonexaceae. The record is from RNAcentral.